This 1197-nucleotide long non-coding RNA is filed under the name Homo sapiens (human). RNAcentral describes it as "HSALNT0324851". Lineage: Eukaryota; Metazoa; Chordata; Mammalia; Primates; Hominidae. The record is from RNAcentral.
ACCUUCCGGAGGUCCUGCCUCCUAGCCCCAUCACCUUGCGGGUGAGGAUUUCAACAGAUGAAUAUGGCGGUGGGGGGGUGUAAACAUUCCGAUCGCAGCAGCCACCCACGUAUCACCUUGGUCUGGGGUGUAGCAGGCAUUGCCAGGGCUCAGCCAAAGCCGGGCUCCAGCUGCUCGUGGAGAUAACAAAGGCUUCUGUGGCCUCAUCUACUUCAUUGUGACGAGGUCGAGGCUGUAAGGGGCCAAGUGGAUGAUUUAGCUCAACAGCUAAAUGAUGUUCUGGGAGAAAGGGACUGAGGCUGCCGUGGACAGUGGUCAUCUCGGGCUUCGAAGUCAAUGUGAAGUCAACGUCUAAUGGACCCGAGUUCAGCCAAGAACACACACCAGUUGUUCCAGGGAAGAAUCUCAUGGUGAAGCACUAGUGAGCGUCCAAGCAACUCCCAGCCUAACCUCACCGGUCUGACUGUGGGGCUGCUUCUGCCACGGCUCCUGGCUGGCGAUGGGGCUGUCAGCGUGUCAGCCAACCAUGCAUUGCAGAUGCACUUUGAAGAAAAUUAAUGUACCUGGGUACUUAUGGGACUCCCUGAAUGAGUGGGUAUAAUUGAAAUAGCCGGGACAUCAAAAAGCUGGAACACUGGGAGCCUGGCCCUAGGGUGGCGGAGGCCACAACGGAGCCCCCAGCCGGUUGGAAAGAGGCUUCCUAUGCUCUCCUUUCCAUGCCACUGCGGAAGUGCUAGGGAACAGGAAGACCAGGGCAUUGCCAAGUGAAUAAUAACAACCAUGUGUGCGGCGUUCACGAUACCCCAGGCUCAGUGAGCCUUUUACUCAGGGUCUCAUGUGAUGCUGAAAACAAUCCCAUGAAGUUUAGAAGCCUGUGCACACGAAGAGACGUGGUGUUUCCCUAUUGAUCCAAACUGCAUGCUGACCUGUUCCUGCCAGGGCUGCGCUCCUCCUGCUUUGCCCUGGCUCUCCCGUUCUGCACUCCCUCUUCUACCGGGAAUUCCUGGAAGCACCUUUUAUUCACAGUGCCUGCUUUGAAUAGAUACAAAUACAAUUUGUAUCUUAUGUAGUCCAUUCCACACAAUUGAAAAUAUAAUGUAAUAAAAAUCAGAAAAGUAAAUCCAGGAAAGUCUCUAACACAUAUUAGGGCCUCAAUAAAUGGACCCUAAGAGGGUGGGGAAAUGGCUUUGGUUUUUA